This 161-nucleotide small nuclear RNA is filed under the name Laticauda laticaudata (blue-ringed sea krait). Its description in RNAcentral is "U1 spliceosomal RNA (ENSLLTG00000007421.1)". It matches the Rfam family "U1 spliceosomal RNA". From Rfam's summary of the family: U1 is a small nuclear RNA (snRNA) component of the spliceosome (involved in pre-mRNA splicing). Its 5' end forms complementary base pairs with the 5' splice junction, thus defining the 5' donor site of an intron. The record is from Rfam by way of RNAcentral. Lineage: Eukaryota; Metazoa; Chordata; Lepidosauria; Squamata; Elapidae.
AUACUUACCUGGCAGGGAGAUACCUUGAUCACGAAGGAGGGUUUUCCAGGGUGAGGCUCAUCCAUUGCACUCCGGGUGUGCUGACCCCUGCGAUUUCCCCAAAUGCGGGAAACUCGACUGCAUAAUUGUGGUAGUGGGGACUGCGUUCGCGCUUCCCCUGA